Molecule: ribosomal RNA, 306 nt
Filed under: uncultured bacterium
Lineage: Bacteria
Description: partial 16S ribosomal RNA
Rfam family: Bacterial small subunit ribosomal RNA
Source: RNAcentral
GACAGCAGCCGCCGCGGUAAUACGGAGGGUGCAAGCGUUAUUCGGAAUUACUGGGCGUAAAGCGCACGCAGGCGGUUGCCCAAGUCAGAUGUGAAAGCCCCGGGCUUAACCUGGGAACUGCAUUUGAAACUGGGCGACUAGAGUAUGAAAGAGGAAAGCGGAAUUUCCAGUGUAGCAGUGAAAUGCGUAGAUAUUGGAAGGAACACCGAUGGCGAAGGCAGCUUUCUGGGUCGAUACUGACGCUCAUGUGCGAAAGCGUGGGGAGCAAACAGGAUUAGAUACCCCCGUAGUCCCUGUCUCUUAUAC